AGUUAUGUGAGGUGAUUUGGCUCUGGUAUUUGAUACCCCCAUUAACUACUAGGGCCGACUUGGCUUGUCUGGCUAGUAAGUUCUAGUGUUGCCCUUCGCCUCUCAUACUUCUUGGUGGGAGAAGACGGCCUUCCUUCUGCCAAGGGUAUACAAGUAUAUAUGCUCCCAUGCUAGAGCCUUCACACAAGCUUUCAAAGGCCACCAUUGGGUAGGUAGCCAAGCUUCCAAGACUCCAGCCUCGUCCAAAUGAGGCCCUGCACAGGGUGCCUCCAUUU
RNAcentral lists this small nuclear RNA (275 nucleotides) under Peromyscus maniculatus bairdii (prairie deer mouse). Its description in RNAcentral is "7SK RNA (ENSPEMG00000003964.2)". It matches the Rfam family "7SK RNA". From Rfam's summary of the family: 7SK was discovered as an abundant small nuclear RNA in the mid-70s but a possible function has only recently been suggested. Two independent studies have found that 7SK RNA binds the CDK9/cyclin T complex (known as elongation factor P-TEFb). The record is from RNAcentral. Lineage: Eukaryota; Metazoa; Chordata; Mammalia; Rodentia; Cricetidae.